GAGGGCCUACGGGACGCAGCAGUAGGGAAUCUUCCACAAUGGACGAAAGUCUGAUGGAGCAACGCCGCGUGAGUGAAGAAGGGUUUCGGCUCGUAAAGCUCUGUUGGUAGUGAAGAAAGAUAGAGGUAGUAACUGGCCUUUAUUUUAAGGUAAUUUCUUAGAAAGUUACGGCUAAAUACGUGCCAUCAGCCGCGGUAAUACGGAGGUGGCAAGCGUUUUCCGGCUUUAUUGGGCGUAAAGCGCAUGCAUGCGCGUG
This 256-nucleotide ribosomal RNA is filed under the name uncultured bacterium. Its description in RNAcentral is "partial 16S ribosomal RNA". It matches the Rfam family "Bacterial small subunit ribosomal RNA", at positions 333 to 581 of the family's 1533-position model. The record is from RNAcentral.